UGCAGUCGAACGGCAGCACGGGUACUUGUACCUGGUGGCGAGUGGCGAACGGGUGAGUAACAUAUCGGAACGUAUCCAAUAAUGGGGGAUAACGAGUCGAAAGAUUCGCUAAUACCGCAUACGCCCUACGGGGGAAAGCUAGGGACCUUCGGGCCUGGCGUUAAUGGAGCGGCCGAUAUCUGAUUAGCUAGUUGGUGAGGUAAAGGCUCACCAAGGCGACGAUCAGUAGCUGGUCUGAGAGGACGACCAGCCACACUGGAACUGAGACACGGUCCAGACUCCUACGGGAGGCAGCAGUGGGGAAUUUUGGACAAUGGGGGCAACCCUGAUCCAGCCAUUCCGCGUGAGUGAAGAAGGCCUUCGAGUUGUAAAGCUCUUUCGCAAGGGAAGAAAACUUAUCCUCUAACAUAGGAUGAGGUUGACGGUACCUUGAUAAGAAGCACCGGCUAACUACGUGCCAGCAGCCGCGGUAAUACGUAGGGUGCGAGCGUUAAUCGGAAUUACUGGGCGUAAAGCGUGCGCAGGCUGUUUUGUAAGUCAGAUGUGAAAUCCCCGAGCUCAACUUGGGAACUGCGUUUGAAACUACAAGACUAGAAUAUGUCAGAGGGGGGUAGAAUUCCACGUGUAGCAGUGAAAUGCGUGGAGAUGUGGAGGAAUACCAAUGGCGAAGGCAGCCCCCUGGGAUAAUAUUGACGCUCAUGCACGAAAGCGUGGGGAGCAAACAGGAUUAGAUACCCUGGUAGUCCACGCCCUAAACGAUGUCUACUAGUUGUUGGUGGAGUAAAAUCCAUGAGUAACGCAGCUAACGCGUGAAGUAGACCGCCUGGGGAGUACGGUCGCAAGAUUAAAACUCAAAUGAAUUGACGGGGGCCCGCACAAGCGGUGGAUUAUGUGGAUUAAUUCGAUGCAACGCGAAAAACCUUACCUGGCCUUGACAUGUAACGAACUUUCCAGAGAUGGAUUGGUGCUCGAAAGAGAACGUUAACACAGGUGCUGCAUGGCUGUCGUCAGCUCGUGUCGUG
RNAcentral lists this ribosomal RNA (1022 nucleotides) under uncultured bacterium. RNAcentral describes it as "bacterial SSU rRNA". It matches the Rfam family "Bacterial small subunit ribosomal RNA", at positions 56 to 1069 of the family's 1533-position model. The record is from RNAcentral.